AGUGAACGCUGGCGGUAGGCCUAACACAUGCAAGUCGAACGGCAGCACAGUAAGAGCUUGCUCUUACGGGUGGCGAGUGGCGGACGGGUGAGGAAUACAUCGGAAUCUACUUUUUCGUGGGGGAUAACGUAGGGAAACUUACGCUAAUACCGCAUACGACCUACGGGUGAAAGCAGGGGAUCUUCGGACCUUGCGCGAUUGAAUGAGCCGAUGUCGGAUUAGCUAGUUGGCGGGGUAAAGGCCCACCAAGGCGACGAUCCGUAGCUGGUCUGAGAGGAUGAUCAGCCACACUGGAACUGAGACACGGUCCAGACUCCUAUGGGAGGCAGCAGUGGGGAAUAUUGGACAAUGGGCGCAAGCCUGAUCCAGCCAUACCGCGUGGGUGAAGAAGGCCUUCGGGUUGUAAAGCCCUUUUGUUGGGAAAGAAAUCCAGCCGGCUAAUACCUGGUUGGGAUGACGGUACCCAAAGAAUAAGCACCGGCUAACUUCGUG
This 492-nucleotide ribosomal RNA is filed under the name uncultured bacterium. Its description in RNAcentral is "partial 16S ribosomal RNA". It matches the Rfam family "Bacterial small subunit ribosomal RNA", at positions 29 to 507 of the family's 1533-position model. The record is from RNAcentral.